UUGUUUGAACCGCAUGGUUCAAACAUAAAAGGUGGCUUCGGCUACCACUUACAGAUGGACCCGCGGCGCAUUAGCUAGUUGGUGAGGUAACGGCUCACCAAGGCAACGAUGCGUAGCCGACCUGAGAGGGUGAUCGGCCACACUGGGACUGAGACACGGCCCAGACUCCUACGGGAGGCAGCAGUAGGGAAUCUUCCGCAAUGGACGAAAGUCUGACGGAGCAACGCCGCGUGAGUGAUGAAGGUUUUCGGAUCGUAAAGCUCUGUUGUUAGGGAAGAACAAGUACCGUUCGAAUAGGGCGGUACCUUGACGGAACCUAACCAGAAAGCCACGGCUAACUACGUGCCAUCAGCCGCGGUAAUACGUAGGUGGCAAGCGUUGUCCGGAAUUAUUGGGCGUAAAGGGCUCGCAGGCGGUUUCUUAAGUCUGAUGUGAAAGCCCCCGGCUCAACCGGGGAGGGUCAUUGGAAACUGGGGAACUUGAGUGCAGAAGAGGAGAGUGGAAUUCCACGUGUAGCGGUGAAAUGCGUAGAGAUGUGGAGGAACACCAGUGGCGAAGGCGACUCUCUGGUCUGUAACUGACGCUGAGGAGCGAAAGCGUGGGGAGCGAACAGGAUUAGAUACUCCUGGUAGUCCACGUCGUAAACGAUGAGUGCUAAGUGUUAGGGGGUUUCC
RNAcentral lists this ribosomal RNA (674 nucleotides) under Bacillus sp. Mc2Re-9. Its description in RNAcentral is "bacterial SSU rRNA". It matches the Rfam family "Bacterial small subunit ribosomal RNA", at positions 173 to 835 of the family's 1533-position model. Lineage: Bacteria; Bacillati; Bacillota; Bacilli; Caryophanales; Bacillaceae. The record is from RNAcentral.